GACGAACGCUGGCGGCGUGCUUAACACAUGCAAGUCGAACGGAAAGGCCCUGCUUUUGUGGGGUGCUCGAGUGGCGAACGGGUGAGUAACACGUGAGUAACCUGCCCUUGACUUUGGGAUAACUUCAGGAAACUGGGGCGAAUACCGGAGAGGAUCUCCUGCUGCAUGGUGGUGAUUGGAAAAUUUCGGCUGUUGGGGAUGGACUCGAGGCUUAUCAGCUUGUUGGUGGGGUAGUGGCUUACCAAGGCUUUGACGGGUAGCCGGCCUGGGAGGGUGACCGGCCACAUUGGGACUGAGAUACGGACCAGACUCCUACGGGAGGCAGCAGUGGGGAAUAUUGCACAGUGGGCGGAAGCCUGAUGCAGCAACGCCGCGAGCGGGAUGACGGCCUUCGGGUUGUAAACCGCUUUCGAAUGUGACGAAGCGUGAGUGACGGUAAUGAGUAAAGAAGCACCGGCUAACUACGUG
RNAcentral lists this ribosomal RNA (468 nucleotides) under uncultured bacterium. RNAcentral describes it as "partial 16S ribosomal RNA". It matches the Rfam family "Bacterial small subunit ribosomal RNA", at positions 28 to 507 of the family's 1533-position model. The record is from RNAcentral.